GUUGUCACUGCGUGGAGAGAUCACACUGAAUAGAUGAUUAACCAGGUCCCAGGGGAAGGAGAAGGAGCGGACAGGUCCCUCUCACUUUCACGAUGCGGGGCAUGCAGGAGAGUAUGUGGGUCCUACCUCUGGUUCUACUGGGGCUGUUAAAGCCCUGGGCUGCAGGCUACUCACUCAGUCAGGUGUGUGACCCAUCUAAAGAUGGCACGAUCUAUAACUACAAAGCUAAGACACUGAAUGGGAGUCGUUCAGUCUCCCUCAGUGAGUACAUGGGGAAGACCGUCCUCUUCGUCAACGUAGCCACUUACUGAGGACUCACCUUCCAGUACCUGGAGUUGAAUGCACUACACGAGGAGAUGAAGGAUUAUGGGUUUACCAUUCUCGGGUUCCCCUCCAAUCAGUUUGGAAAACAGGAGCCAGGAGAAAAUCAUGAGAUUCUGGCCACUCUAAAGCAUGUCCGACCAGGAAAUGGAUUUGUUCCAAACUUCCUGCUAUUCCAGAGGGGGGAUGUGAACGGAGACACAGAACAAGGAGUCUACACUUUCCUUAAAAACUCCUGCCCGCCAGUAGGGGACAGCUUUGAGAACCCCACCAACAGGCUGUUCUGGGAGCCCCUGAAGAUCAACGACAUCAAGUGGAACUUUGAGAAGUUCCUGGUCGGACCGGAUGGGAAGCCCGUGAUGAGGUGGUUCCCCCGGGUCCCAGUGUCUGAGGUUCGGGAGGACAUCCUCAAAUACAUCCGUCAACUCUUCUCCCAGUCCACCCAGCAGAACAUUGACUAAGAUUUAACGUGCCCCAAAUGGCACCCUAAUCCCAAGAUAGUGCACUACUGGAAAUUCUCCAAUUCACCAGGGCCCACAGGGCUCUGGUCAAAAGUAGUGCACUAUAUUGGGAAUAUGGUGCCAUUUAGGAUGCGGCCUGUGUUAUCAGGGCUGGGGUCGAUUCCAUGUCAAUGGAGUAAAUUCCUGUAUUGAAAUUCAGCCUACAGAUUUAUUAGAUUCCCCUUUUAGAUGCACGAAAACACAGUGGACUGGUUUCCAGGGUCCAGAUUACACCUCUUUCUGGACUAAAAAGCACUUUCAAUGGAAAUUCUCCAAUGAGUAUGCUGUCAUUUUAUUCCAAGAGUAGGCUGAAUCUGGAUCAAGGAAACCAAUGUCAUAAAACACUAUUUUCCCCCCAUCCUUGUCGAAAACCUCUGACAAGCCAUGUAUGUGUAGAAUAGAACAUCAUUCAACUGAUUCGUAGAAGAAAAUGUCAAUCAAUUCAAAUGUAUGGCUGGCUGUGGUGGUAGUGGGUAAGGGUCGUAGAGGAGGUGGCAUGUUGUAUGAAGGUGAGGCUUGAAAACAGAGCGUCUGUGGUGCCAAACCUGAGUUCUAGGGUCCAGGCCAGUCCUUCAGUGCAUUCAGGCUGGGCCUGGUAACCCUGGGAGUCAUGUUACCUCCUGGUCCUGCCACCUGACUAAUUCAUGUCAAUAAAUCACGUCAGUAUAA
RNA transcript from Oncorhynchus mykiss (rainbow trout), 1490 nucleotides. It is a transcript of the gene named glutathione peroxidase 3-like, with no coding region annotated. NCBI's taxonomy places the organism in Eukaryota, Metazoa, Chordata, Actinopteri, Salmoniformes, Salmonidae. The record is from RefSeq and is a predicted model, not a curated record.